Molecule: non-coding RNA, 462 nt
Organism: Anas platyrhynchos (mallard)
Lineage: Eukaryota; Metazoa; Chordata; Aves; Anseriformes; Anatidae
Source: RefSeq, a predicted model, not a curated record
GUACUGGCGUGACCACCCAGGACAUCUGCAGCUCUCCAGGAUUUCGGGAGCAUGGAGGUAACGACCAGACUCCAGUCCUGUACCUCAACAGUUCCAGUGCCCGAGAAGGGGAAACACUUUUGGUUCAUUGUGUCAUUGAUUGGCAGUUUCCUGCUACACGAGUUGUCUUCUGCAAGAAUGGGCUGGAGGAGUUCAGCCUGAAAGCCCAGCAGGGCAGGCUCAUCUACGCUCUGGUCCUGAACAUCACCUCCAGAAGUGCUGGGACGUACACGUGUGGGUACCAGCAAAAGAACAAGGAAAACAACGUGAAGAACUCUGCUCUCAGUGCUCCCCGGACCUUGUCUGUGGCAGCCGCAUAUCCCCGGAUCCUGCACACCCUCCCCACAGGCACAGUGCUGGCAGUGGCGGCCGUCGGCCUCGUCCUCCUGGCUGCAGGCAGCUGGUUUGCCAUCAGGAAACGUG